RNAcentral lists this ribosomal RNA (454 nucleotides) under Acanthamoeba jacobsi. RNAcentral describes it as "bacterial SSU rRNA". It matches the Rfam family "Eukaryotic small subunit ribosomal RNA", at positions 766 to 1096 of the family's 1831-position model. The record is from RNAcentral. Lineage: Eukaryota; Discosea; Longamoebia; Acanthamoebidae.
GGUAUGUGCAUCUUGUGAGUCAGUUCUUCUGCCCCGAAUACAUUAGCAUGGGAUAAUGGAAUAGGACCCUGUCCUCCUAUUUUGCGUGUUGGUUUUCGAGGACCGGGUAAUGAUUAAUAGGGAUAGUUGGGGGCAUUAAUAUUUAAUUGUCAGAGGUGAAAUUCUUGGAUUUAUGAAAGAUUGACUUCUGCGAAAGCAUCUGCCAAGGAUGUUUUCAUUAAUCAAGAACGAAAGUUAGGGGAUCGAAGACGAUCAGAUACCGUCGUAGUCUUAACCAUAAACGAUGCCGACCAGCGAUUAGGAGACGUUGAAUACAAAACACCACCGUUGGGUCGUGGCGGGCCGUGCCCCGCGGUCCGUCGUGCGCGGCGACGCGUGCGGCGGCCACGGGGACCGCGGUCCGUAUCAGCCACCCGACGGCCCGGUGAAUGACUCCCCUAGCAGCUUGUGAGAA